This 301-nucleotide ribosomal RNA is filed under the name uncultured bacterium. RNAcentral's name for it is "partial 16S ribosomal RNA". It matches the Rfam family "Bacterial small subunit ribosomal RNA", at positions 509 to 807 of the family's 1533-position model. The record is from RNAcentral.
CAGUAGCCGCGGUAAUACGAAGGGGGCUAGCGUUGUUCGGAAUUACUGGACGUAAAGCGCGUGUAGGCGGGUCUUUAAGUCAGAGGUGAAAUGCCAAGGCUCAACCUUGGAACUGCCUUUGAUACUGGAGAUCUUGAGUCCGGGAGAGGUGAGUGGAAUUGCGAGUGUAGAGGUGAAAUUCGUAGAUAUUCGCAAGAACACCAGUGGCGAAGGCGGCUCACUGGCCCGGAACUGACGCUGAGACGCGAAAGCGUGGGGAGCAAACAGGAUUAGAUACCCCCGUAGUCCCUGUCUCUUAUAC